UCGGGAAUAUUGGACAAUGGGGGAAACCCUGAUCCAGCCAUGCCGCGUGUGUGAAGAAGGCCUUCGGGUUGUAAAGCACUUUCAGUAGUGAGGAAGGGACCUGGGCGAAUAUCCCGGGUUCUUGACGUUAGCUACAGAAGCAGCACCGGCUAACUCCGUGCCAGCAGCCGCGGUAAUACGGAGGGUGCGAGCGUUAAUCGGAAUUACUGGGCGUAAAGCGCGCGUAGGCGGUUUGGUAAGUCGGAUGUGAAAGCCCAGGGCUUAACCUUGGAACUGCAUUCGAUACUGCCUGACUAGAGUAUGGUAGAGGGAGGUAGAAUUCCACGUGUAGCGGUGAAAUGCGUAGAGAUGUGGAGGAAUACCGGUGGCGAAGGCGGCCUCCUGGACCAAUACUGACGCUGAGGUGCGAAGGCGUGGGGAGCGAACAGG
This 429-nucleotide ribosomal RNA is filed under the name uncultured Granulosicoccus sp. Its description in RNAcentral is "bacterial SSU rRNA". It matches the Rfam family "Bacterial small subunit ribosomal RNA", at positions 355 to 776 of the family's 1533-position model. The record is from RNAcentral. RNAcentral also lists the same sequence under 1 other name. Lineage: Bacteria; Pseudomonadati; Pseudomonadota; Gammaproteobacteria; Chromatiales; Granulosicoccaceae.